RNAcentral lists this ribosomal RNA (491 nucleotides) under uncultured bacterium. RNAcentral's name for it is "partial 16S ribosomal RNA". It matches the Rfam family "Bacterial small subunit ribosomal RNA", at positions 29 to 506 of the family's 1533-position model. The record is from RNAcentral.
AGUGAACGCUGGCGGUAGGCCUAACACAUGCAAGUCGAACGGCAGCGCAGUAAGAGCUUGCUCUUACGGGUGGCGAGUGGCGGACGGGUGAGGAAUACAUCGGAAUCUACUUUUUCGUGGGGGAUAACGUAGGGAAACUUACGCUAAUACCGCAUACGACCUACGGGUGAAAGCAGGGGAUCUUCGGACCUUGCGCGAUUGAAUGAGCCGAUGUCGGAUUAGCUAGUUGGCGGGGUAAAGGCCCACCAAGGCGACGAUCCGUAGCUGGUCUGAGAGGAUGAUCAGCCAAACUGGAACUGAGACACGGUCCAGACCCCUACGGGAGGCAGCAGUGGGGAAUAUUGGACAAGGGGCGCAAGCCUGAUCCAGCCAUACCGGGUGGGUGAAGAAGGCCUUGGGGUUGUAAAGCCCUUUUGUUGGGAAAAAAAAGCAGCAGGUUAAUACCCCGCUGUUCUGACGGUACCAAAAGAAGAAGCACCGGCUAACUUCGU